UAGGGAAUCUUCGGCAAUGGGGGCAACCCUGACCGAGCAACGCCGCGUGAGUGAAGAAGGUUUUCGGAUCGUAAAGCUCUGUUGUAAGUCAAGAACGAGUGUGAGAGUGGAAAGUUCACACUGUGACGGUAGCUUACCAGAAGGGGACGGCUAACUACGUGCCAGCAGCCGCGGUAAUACGUAGGUCCCGAGCGUUGUCCGGAUUUAUUGGGCGUAAAGCGAGCGCAGGCGGUUUGAUAAGUCUGAAGUUAAAGGCUGUGGCUCAACCAUAGUUCGCUUUGGAAACUGUCAAACUUGAGUGCAGAAGGGGAGAGUGGAAUUCCAUGUGUAGCGGUGAAAUGCGUAGAUAUAUGGAGGAACACCGGUGGCGAAAGCGGCUCUCUGGUCUGUAACUGACGCUGAGGCUCGAAAGCGUGGGGAGCGAACAGGAUUAGAUACCCUGGUAGUCCACGCCGUAAACGAUGAGUGCUAGGUGUUGGAUCCUUUCCGGGAUUCAGUGCCGCAGCUAACGCAUUAAGCACUCCGCCUGGGGAGUACGACCGCAAGGUUG
Molecule: ribosomal RNA, 550 nt
Filed under: uncultured bacterium
Lineage: Bacteria
Description: bacterial SSU rRNA
Rfam family: Bacterial small subunit ribosomal RNA
Source: RNAcentral